UAUGGAUAAAAUAGAGAAGCAAUGUCAGGCUGCCUGUUUUUAGUGGCACAGAAUUGCCUUCGAAGUAGCAGGCAGCAGAAACCCGCCAUCAGAUUCUGAGGCUGGAAACGACCAUCAGAAGCCAGAAACCUGACUUUUACUCCAAAUUGGAGUGGGAAAACCAUCUAAAGGCAUCUCAUUGACUUCCAGUGACUGGCAAUGCAAAUAUAGCCAUCAGAUGCCUUGAAGGCCAUGUAACCACCUUGUGCAGAAUUAACCAAGAUUAGUCCUUUCUUCAAGACUAGAAGUAAGCAAGCGGUCCAAAAUUUAUUGAUGUAAGGGGUCCCAGAACCCUAUCAAUACCUGCAUGCCCUCAAAUGACACAUCAAUAAAAGUAUUCUUCUCGUGAGUGUACCUUAAUGUUUUUAUCAAUAAAUCACACUUUAGUUUUUCUCUCUAAGUAAAGAUCUUACACAUGCUUUUAUGAACUCCAAAGCAACUCAGAGGAUUUUAAGGAUCGUUUGAUAACAAGCUAGUGGAUUUUGGGGAGUAGCAAACAACCUUCAAAGCCUUUGAUAGACUCAAAGCACUGAAAAAGAUCUUCAGCAAUAAAGCAAUUGCUACUAGGCAAAGUUUGCCAUCUUGGCACCGGACCCCAUACUAGUACCAACCAUGCUAGCAUAGUGUUGGUAACAUGCUGGGCACAACCGCCAAACUAGGCUAGUCAAUUUUAUGAACCCCACUCCACAAAAUAGAAGUAAAAGAUAUGAGACCCACAUCCUCCCACAUAAGAUCAGGAACAUCAGACUUCUUUUGGGCACCUAAAAAAGGAGGGAGGUGAAAGUGGCAACAGAAUGAGGACAAAAGAAAGAAGCCUUGUCAUUUGCAUAGGCCAGCCUCACCUUCUUCCCUGAGCAUUUUUUCUUCCUUUUAAACCAUCCAUUGACUAUUGUUAGGUAAUUUAUAUCUAGUUUUUUAAUCCUGUUUAAAAUCCUUUAAAAUUUAAAACAAGAACAAAGAGUGAUAUAAUAACAUUUGCUGCAGUUAAUAGAAGUUUUAGCUCUUUGUUUAUUCUUCCUGUGUUGCCUUGAUGUUUCUUUGAUUCUUGAUUGAUUGCCUCAAACCUAGGGGUUCAUGCCAUGCCUUAAGAACAUAUAUAUACAUAUAGACACACCCUUCUAGCUGAUUUUCAACAAAUAGGCUGUUAUUAUCAGAUUUAAACAAAAUAGAGAUGAAUAUUUAAUAUAAGAUCUAGGGACUUGCAGGAGAUCCCUAUGCAGGUUGUCAACCCUAAAGGAUGAAUUUUGAUGAUUACAAAACACUUGAGAUCAUAUUGUGUACUAAUGACAUUGGCCUAAUUGUGAAGAUUUCUAAGUCAAGAAAAAUUAGAAGGAAUGAAGCACUGCAAAAUCAUAAGUUCUUCGCAAACAUCUCAUUGGACAUGUUUCAAAAGAAAAUGAUCAUAAUCUAAUCCAUGGAGAUCAGAGAUGAAGUCUAAAGCUUUCUAUUUGAAAAACUUGAGUCAACCCCCUAAGCAAAAAGGACAAGUUUAAGUUGAUUCUGAUAAGUUUUAUUCAAGGAACACAGUCAAUGAGUCGACCCCCGCAAAACAUGAGUCGACCCUUGUAGUUUAAAGUAAACAGAAAGUUUUUACCACCUGAGAGAAGCUUGAAGAGUCGAUCCUUGUUCAAAAUGAGUCAACCCCCGAAAUUGAAGAGUCAACCCUUGCGUUUGAAGAGUCGACCCCAGCUCAGUUUAAGCGACAGACGGAAAAUUAUGGUAUGAGUCGACUCUUGCAUUUAAAGAGGCGACUCCUGAAGACGAUGAGUCGACCCUUGUGUUUAAAGAGGCGACUCCUAAUGAAGAUGAGCCGACCCUUAAGAAUUAAGAGUCGACCCUUUGAAGAUGACAGCAAAAGCUUUCUCCACAUUUUGAAGUGCCGACCCAGAAUGAACAUGAGUCGACCCCUGAGUUAUAUGAGUUGACCCUUGUACUACUGGGACCACAACGGAAAGCUGUGAAUGACUUUUGUCUUCUUCUGUAACAGAAAAAGAUUCUCAUCAGAACGGAAAGAAAGAAAUUCAAAUCCCGCCGAAGAAUUUGUCUAUAAAUACGAGGGAACCUCAAAAUGGAAACAACAAGGAAAGAAAAAAGAUUAUAUUGAAAACAAAAGGUUUCCACUGAGUAAAAGAGAAGAAAAGCUUAACAGUUCAUCAUCCUCACCAGCAUUGUAAUCUGAAACUUUCUCUCGAGGAGAUCAGUCGAAGUUUCUCACUGCAUCGUGAAGAGCUGCUGUUCGGACAUUGGAACAUCCUUCCACAACCAACUUCUUCAUCAGCUUCAGCUUUUACUUUCAUUGAUUUAUUCUUUAUAUGCUCUGAAGCUUUAAGUUUUCUAGUUACAGCAUUCUUUUAGUUGGAUUAAUUGCUGCUGUAACAGUUUCAUUGAUUUGAAACUUGUAAAGACUCUUCCAAGCCUCGAUUGGAAGUUGCUGAAUCGGGAAUAUUCAAUAAGGAAAAAGUUUCUAGUUGGUUUAUCUGAAAACCAACUGGGUUGUUUGUGAGCCCAGAAAAACAAACGGUGUAAAAUUUUUGGUUGGUUUAUUUGAAAACCAACUGGGUUGUUUGUGAUCCCGGAAAACAAAAGAUUUUCGGUUGGUUGCCUGGGAAAACCAACUGGGUUUUGAUUGUGAGCCCGGAAAAUAAUCAGGCUGUAAUCUACUAGGUUAUAGUGAAAUCUCAAGCUAGGCUUGAGGAGUGGACGUAGGUGCUAGGAGUGCACCGAACCACUAUAAACCUUGGUAUUUGUGAUUGUAGUUCUUCUCUUCCUUUCCUCUGCAUAUUCCUGACUGCUUUCCUAACUUUAUUCACUGUCGUAUUUGUAAUCUUAUUUCCGCUGCUGAAUCUAUAAAAUAACAGUAACUCAUACUCUCCAUACGUUUUAACUUUAAUUAUUUUUAAAGAGACCCAAUUCACCCCCCUUCUUGGGCUGCAUCUCUGGGCAACACAGGUCCUGCUGCAUCAAACUCCCUUCAAUUUCUCAUUACUAUCAUGAGCUUACUUUUCGUUCUCCUUAUCUUAAUCACUUUCUUUUGAGUAACAGUAAUUCUCCCCACUACCCUUGUGCAGUUUUUCAUACUCAAUAAUAGCAGUUCUACCAGGAGGUUGCUCAACAUUUACACUCGUAGGCAUGACAUGACAAAGGAGCUUUGUUCUCUCUCCGCACCAAUCAGCACAUGCACGGAAUCUUGUUGCCCUCCUGGAGGGUAGACUUCCAUUGCCUUAAAGUGAGUUUACAGAGUCAAUAGACUUCUGUUGGGAGCUAUAACACUUGUUCCUCAUGGUUUACUCAAGGUCAAGGCCAACAUCCACAGCGAGGAACCAAUUGUUGUUGCAACUAAGGCCAAGGACAUAAGCAUAAAAUGUUGGUUAUAGGUUGGCAUGGUAUUGUACCAUGCCAACCAACCUUGUGUCCAGAAUCAUUCCAAGGCCCAUCUCAAAAUAUAGGGAUCCAUAACAGUUCAAUAUCAGUCUAUAAUGAUCGAUAUGAAAUAGCAUGAACUGGCACACACAAUACAAAUAGUACUGUGCUCAUAUGUGAGGGUGAGCCUUGGCA
This 3594-nucleotide long non-coding RNA is filed under the name Phoenix dactylifera (date palm). RNAcentral's name for it is "long non-coding RNA (PDAC_LNC005404)". The record is from RNAcentral. Lineage: Eukaryota; Viridiplantae; Streptophyta; Magnoliopsida; Arecales; Arecaceae.